This 242-nucleotide ribosomal RNA is filed under the name uncultured Staphylococcus sp. Its description in RNAcentral is "partial 16S ribosomal RNA". It matches the Rfam family "Bacterial small subunit ribosomal RNA", at positions 122 to 355 of the family's 1533-position model. The record is from RNAcentral. Lineage: Bacteria; Bacillati; Bacillota; Bacilli; Caryophanales; Staphylococcaceae.
UAACCUACCUAUAAGACUGGGAGUAACUUCGGGAAACCGGAAGCUAAUACCGGAUAAUAUAUUGAACCGCAUGGUUCAAUAGUGAAAGACGGUUUUGCUGUCACUUAUAGAUGGAUCCGCGCUGCAUUAGCUAGUUGGUAAGGUAACGGCUUACCAAGGCAACGAUGCGUAGCCGACCUGAGAGGGUGAUCGGCCACACUGGAACUGAGACACGGUCCAGACUCCUACGGGAGGCAGCAGCC